RNAcentral lists this ribosomal RNA (497 nucleotides) under uncultured bacterium. RNAcentral describes it as "partial 16S ribosomal RNA". It matches the Rfam family "Bacterial small subunit ribosomal RNA", at positions 28 to 507 of the family's 1533-position model. The record is from RNAcentral.
GAUGAACGCUGGCGGCGUGCCUAAUACAUGCAAGUCGAGCGAACAGACGAGGAGCUUGCUCCUCUGACGUUAGCGGCGGACGGGUGAGUAACACGUGGAUAACCUACCUAUAAGACUGGGAUAACUUCGGGAAACCGGAGCUAAUACCGGAUAAUAUAUUGAACCGCAUGGUUCAAUAGUGAAAGACGGUUUUGCUGUCACUUAUAGAUGGAUCCGCGCCGCAUUAGCUAGUUGGUAAGGUAACGGCUUACCAAGGCAACGAUGCGUAGCCGACCUGAGAGGGUGAUCGGCCAGCCUGGAACUGAGACACGGUCCAGACUCCUACGGGAGGCAGCAGUAGGGAAUCUUCCGCAAAGGGCGAAAGCCUGACGGAGCAACGCCGCGUGAGUGAUGAAGGUCUUAGGAUCGUAAAACUCUGUUAUUAGGGAAGAACAAAUGUGUAAGUAACGAUGCACGUCUUGACGGUACCUAAUCAGAAAGCCACGGCUAACUACGUG